This 497-nucleotide ribosomal RNA is filed under the name uncultured bacterium. RNAcentral's name for it is "partial 16S ribosomal RNA". It matches the Rfam family "Bacterial small subunit ribosomal RNA", at positions 28 to 507 of the family's 1533-position model. The record is from RNAcentral.
GAUGAACGCUGGCGGCGUGCCUAAUACAUGCAAGUCGAGCGUACAGAUGAGGAGCUUGCACCUCUGACGUUAGCGGCGGACGGGUGAGUAACACGUGGAUAACCUACCUAUAAGACUGGGAUAACUUCGGGAAACCGGAGCUAAUACCGGAUAAUAUAUUGAACCGCAUGGUUCAAUAGUGAAAGACGGUUUUGCUGUCACUUAUAGAUGGAUCCGCGCCGCAUUAGCUAGUUGGUAAGGUAACGGCUUACCAAGGCAACGAUGCGUAGCCGACCUGAGAGGGUGAUCGGCCACACUGGAACUGAGACACGGUCCAGACUCCUACGGGAGGCAGCAGUAGGGAAUCUUCCGCAAUGGGCGAAAGCCUGACGGAGCAACGCCGCGUGAGUGAUGAAGGUCUUCGGAUCGUAAAACUCUGUUAUUAGGGAAGAACAAAUGUGUAAGUAACUAUGCACGUCUUGACGGUACCUAAUCAGAAAGCCACGGCUAACUACGUG